AUUAUAGAAUGCCCGUUCGCAGGCAACCACCUAACAGGCAUACGAUGGUAUGCCCGUUAGGUGGUUGCCUGCGAACGGGCAUUCUAUAAUU
Molecule: non-coding RNA, 91 nt
Organism: Paramuricea clavata
Lineage: Eukaryota; Metazoa; Cnidaria; Anthozoa; Malacalcyonacea; Plexauridae
Source: the annotation of a GenBank genome assembly